CGUCCAUCUGGACAGCCAGACACACAUCCACAUUGUAGCUCAGCAGGGGAUCCUCAUCUAGCUUGCCAGGCUGAAAAGCCAGAAGGUAACCCUUCUUCAGAAUGUUUGGGAAUGUCUGCUUGUGUUCUGGAAAUUAAAAAAAAAAGAAGAGGCAAAGUAUUAAUUAAACUAUGAAAAGGAAACAUGCUAUGGGAGCACCAAGUACAUGAGACAG
Long non-coding RNA from Trichechus manatus latirostris (Florida manatee), 214 nucleotides. RefSeq lists it as uncharacterized. The transcript is spliced from 3 exons. Lineage: Eukaryota; Metazoa; Chordata; Mammalia; Sirenia; Trichechidae. The record is from RefSeq and is a predicted model, not a curated record.